GAUGAACGCUGGCGGCGUGCCUAAUACAUGCAAGUCGAACGCUGGAGAUCUAGCUUGCUAGAUCGAAGGGGUGGCGAACGGGUGAGUAAUACAUAAGCAACCUACCCACGAAGACUGGGAUAAUCUCUGGAAACGGGGACUAAUACCGGAUAGGUAAUCGGAAGGCAUCUUCUGGUUAUUAAAGGUUAAACACACUGGUGGAUGGGCUUAUGGCGCAUUAGUUAGUUGGUGAGGUAACGGCCCACCAAGACGAUGAUGCGUAGCCGGCCUGAGAGGGUGAACGGCCACAUUGGGACUGAGACACGGCCCAGACGCCUACGGGAGGCAGCAGUAGGGAAUUUUCGGCAAUGGGGGCAACCCUGACCGAGCAACGCCGCGUGAGUGAAGACGGCCUUCGGGUUGUAAAGCUCUGUUGUAAGGGAAGAACGGUAGAUAGAGAAUAUCUAAGUGACGGUACCUUACCAGAAAGCCACGGCUAACUACGUG
This 486-nucleotide ribosomal RNA is filed under the name uncultured bacterium. RNAcentral describes it as "partial 16S ribosomal RNA". It matches the Rfam family "Bacterial small subunit ribosomal RNA", at positions 28 to 507 of the family's 1533-position model. The record is from RNAcentral.